UACGGGAGAGGCAAGCGUUGUUCGGAAUCACUGGGCUUAAAGCGCGUGUAGGCGGUUCGGUAAGUACUUUGUGAAAUCUCCCCUCUCAAUGGGGAAAUUGCUCGGUAUACUGCCAAACUUGAGGUAGGUAGGGGUGCCUGGAACUCUAGGUGGAGCGGUGAAAUGCGUAGAUAUCUAGAGGAACGCCCGUGGCGAAAGCGGGGCACUGGGCCUGUCCUGACGCUGAGACGCGAAAGCGUGGGUAGCAAACGGGAUUAGAUACCCCGGUAGUCCACGCCGUAAACGAUGCGCACUAGGUUUGCAUGACUCUGACGUCCUGCGAGCCGAAACAAAAGCGUUAAGUGCGCCGCCUGGGGAGUACGGCCGCAAGGCUA
Molecule: ribosomal RNA, 374 nt
Filed under: uncultured bacterium
Lineage: Bacteria
Description: bacterial SSU rRNA
Rfam family: Bacterial small subunit ribosomal RNA
Source: RNAcentral